CCUACGGGAGGCAGCAGUGGGGAAUUUUGGACAAUGGGCGCAAGCCUGAUCCAGCAAUGCCGCGUGAGUGAAGAAGGCCUUCGGGUUGUAAAGCUCUUUUGUCAGGGAAGAAACGGUGGGGGCUAAUAUCUCCUACUAAUGACGGUACCUGAAGAAUAAGCACCGGCUAACUACGUGCCAGCAGCCGCGGUAAUACGUAGGGUGCAAGCGUUAAUCGGAAUUACUGGGCGUAAAGCGUGCGCAGGCGGUUUUGUAAGUCUGUCGUGAAAGCCCCGGGCUCAACCUGGGAAUUGCGAUGGAGACUGCAAGGCUUGAAUCUGGCAGAGGGGGGUAGAAUUCCACGUGUAGCAGUGAAAUGCGUAGAGAUGUGGAGGAACACCGAUGGCGAAGGCAGCCCCCUGGGUCAAGAUUGACGCUCAUGCACGAAAGCGUGGGGAGCAAACAGGAUUAGAUACCCUGGUAGUCCACGCCCUAAACGAUGUCUACUAGUUGUCGGGUUUUAAUUAACUUGGUAACGCAGCUAACGCGUGAAGUAGACCGCCUGGGGAGUACGGGUCGCAAGAUUAAAACCUCGAAAGGAAUUGACGG
RNAcentral lists this ribosomal RNA (588 nucleotides) under uncultured bacterium. RNAcentral's name for it is "bacterial SSU rRNA". It matches the Rfam family "Bacterial small subunit ribosomal RNA", at positions 338 to 916 of the family's 1533-position model. The record is from RNAcentral.